GUUUGAGUGGGGACAUCCAAUAUAUGCUGUUUGGCAUCUACUUCAUUUCUAUCCCGUGGAUACUGACGUCAGCUCUGCUUUCUGGUGUGGCAAACGGCUGCGUUAUUUGGAGCUGUGUGUCCGACGGCAGUGAGGCUUUCCUUCACCGUGUGCUGUGUUAUGCUGUGUGAGCACCACUGAUAAAAUCACGGGAACAAGACAGCAGCGUAGACUCUUUGAAGGGUCUCUUUGGCUACCUCCCCUGAUUGUGUUUCAGGUCCAAAUUUUCUUUCUGCCCCGCCUUGCUUGGUGAGGGAGAAGCUCGGGAUGAGAUCAGGUAUCGGUCUGAGACAGAGAGGGGGGAUCCAGAUAAGAUAAUUCGGGCCUUAAAGGAAUUGUAUGGGUGUUCUUUGUCAUAUGUAGCAUUGCAACAGGCAUUUUUUUCCAGGAGGCAGCAGGAAGGAGAAACACUUUUAGAGUUCUCUAUUGCAUUGAUGGGCCUCUUGGAGGGGGUAAAACAGCAGUCGCCGCAUGCCAUACCAAAUGCAGAAGCUUUAUUGCGUGACCAGUUUGUCGAGCACGUGCUCGAUAUUGGUCUUCGUCGGGAACUAAAACAAUUAGUCCGCCGUGACCCUACCUCUUCCCUCUUAGAUGUUCGUAGCGAGGCAAUGCGCUGGGAGCGGGAGGGAAUGCCUGGGGGUGCGAGAGGGCGAAGUCAGUCUGUACCAGUGGCCUAUGGGGCCCAGUAUGCCAUACAGGGGGAGUCGCAGGUAGUUCGGUUGAGCUCCCCUCCCAAGUCGGAGCUAGCAGAGUUACGGGAAAUGUUGAAGUCACAACAAGAACAGUUAAACCAACUUACCCAAGGGUUGGCUCGCUUGCAGGUCCCUAAUUCAUAUAGCCGGUCCCCACGUCACAGUAAUAUAGUAUGUCGGAGGUGCCAACGGUCUGGCCAUUUUGCCCGAGAGUGUGAUGGAGAACGUGUUCUCCCUCACGCUCCAGCAGUGGGUACAUCUUCGACUGGGUCUAGGCAGUUUCGAUCUUCACAGCCGUCGGAAAACUAAUCCCCACCGGGCUGCGGAGUCACAGCGCGGAUGGGGAGUCAUUUGACUCAAAUGUUGUAAACCGUCUAAAUUCUGUCUCUCGUUUGGUGUCCUCCUGUCCUCAUCUUAAUGUGCUCAUCGGUGGUGUUCAAGUGCCAUGUUUAGUG
Cyprinus carpio carpio is the source of this 1186-nucleotide long non-coding RNA. The record is from Ensembl. NCBI's taxonomy places the organism in Eukaryota, Metazoa, Chordata, Actinopteri, Cypriniformes, Cyprinidae.